GGGACCUGGCGGCGUGCCUAUACAUGCAAGUCGAACGAACUCUGGUAUUGAUUGGUGCUUGCAUCAUGAUUUACAUUUGAGUGAGUGGCGAACUGGUGAGUAACACGUGGGAAACCUGCCCAGAAGCGGGGGAUAACACCUGGAAACAGAUGCUAAUACCGCAUAACAACUUGGACCGCAUGGUCCGAGUUUGAAAGAUGGCUUCGGCUAUCACUUUUGGAUGGUCCCGCGGCGUAUUAGCUAGAUGGUGAGGUAACGGCUCACCAUGGCAAUGAUACGUAGCCGACCUGAGAGGGUAAUCGGCCACAUUGGGACUGAGACACGGCCCAAACUCCUACGGGAGGCAGCAGUAGGGAAUCUUCCACAAUGGACGAAAGUCUGAUGGAGCAACGCCGCGUGAGUGAAGAAGGGUUUCGGCUCGUAAAACUCUGUUGUUAAAGAAGAACAUAUCUGAGAGUAACUGUUCAGGUAUUGACGGUAUUUAACCAGAAAGCCACGGCUAACUACGUGCCAGCAGCCGCGGUAAUACGUAGGUGGCAAGCGUUGUCCGGAUUUAUUGGGCGUAAAGCGAGCGCAGGCGGUUUUUUAAGUCUGAUGUGAAAGCCUUCGGCUCAACCGAAGAAGUGCAUCGGAAACUGGGAAACUUGAGUGCAGAAGAGGACAGUGGAACUCCAUGUGUAGCGGUGAAAUGCGUAGAUAUAUGGAAGAACACCAGUGGCGAAGGCGGCUGUCUGGUCUGUAACUGACGCUGAGGCUCGAAAGUAUGGGUAGCAAACAGGAUUAGAUACCCUGGUAGUCCAUACCGUAAACGAUGAAUGCUAAGUGUUGGAGGGUUUCCGCCCUUCAGUGCUGCAGCUAACGCAUUAAGCAUUCCGCCUGGGGAGUACGGCCGCAAGGCUGAAACUCAAAGGAAUUGACGGGGGCCCGCACAAGCGGUGGAGCAUGUGGUUUAAUUCGAAGCUACGCGAAGAACCUUACCAGGUCUUGACAUACUAUGCAAAUCUAGAGAUUAGACGUUCCCUUUCGGGGACAUGGAUACAGGUGGUGCAUGAUGUCGUCAGCUCGUGUCGUGAGAUGUGGGUAGUCCCGCACGAGCGCACCCUUAUUUAUCAGUUGCCAGCAUUAAGUUGGGACU
RNAcentral lists this ribosomal RNA (1135 nucleotides) under Lactiplantibacillus plantarum. RNAcentral's name for it is "bacterial SSU rRNA". It matches the Rfam family "Bacterial small subunit ribosomal RNA", at positions 26 to 1139 of the family's 1533-position model. Lineage: Bacteria; Bacillati; Bacillota; Bacilli; Lactobacillales; Lactobacillaceae. The record is from RNAcentral.